AUCACUGGGCUUAAAGCGUACGCAGGCGGACUGGAAAGUACCUUGUGAAAUCCCUCGGCUCAACCGAGGAACUGCUUGGUAUACUGCUAGUCUUGAGUGUGGUAGAGGCGGUCGGAACGAUAGGUGGAGCGGUGAAAUGCGUAGAUAUCUAUCGGAACGCCAAAGGUGAAGACAGGCCGCUGGGCCACCACUGACGCUCAUGUACGAAAGCGUGGGUAGCGAACGGGAUUAGAUACCCCGGUAGUCCACGCCGUAAACGAUGUGCACUAGACUCGAGAGGAUCUGACGCCCUUCGAGUCGCAGAGAAAUCAUUAAGUGCACCGCCUGGGGAGUACGGUCGCAAGGCUAAAACUCAAAGGAAUUGACGGGGGCUCACACAAGCGGUGGAGCAUGUGGCUUAAUUCGAAGCAACGCGAAGAACCUUAUCCUGGAUUGAACUACGGCGGAUUAGUGAUGUGAAAGCAUCAUGACGCAGUUUACUGUGGAACGUCGAUAGGUGCUGCAUGGCUGUCGUCAGCUCGUGCUGUGAAGUGUCGGGUUAAGUCCCUUAACGAGCGAAACCCCUAUCGUUAGUUGCUAACAUGUAAUGGUGAGGACUCUAACGAGACUGCCGGUGUCAAACCGGAGGAAGGUGGGGAUGACGUCAAGUCCUCAUGGCCUUUAUGUCCAGGGCUGCACACGUGCUACAAUGGCGUAUACAGAGCGACGCGAGACCGCGAGGUGGAGCAAAUCGCAAAAAGUACGCCCCAGUUCGGAUUGGAGUCUGCAACUCGACUCCAUGAAGGUGGAAUCGCUAGUAAUCGCGUAUCAGCUACGACGCGGUGAAUACGUUCCUGAGCCUUGUACACACCGCCCGUCAAGUCAUGGAAGCCGGGAGUGCCCGAAGCCGCCCUGAAUCAGGGGUGUCUAAGGUAAGUUCGGUGACUGGGACUAAGUCGUAACAAGGUAACC
RNAcentral lists this ribosomal RNA (951 nucleotides) under uncultured Planctomycetota bacterium. RNAcentral's name for it is "bacterial SSU rRNA". It matches the Rfam family "Bacterial small subunit ribosomal RNA", at positions 550 to 1501 of the family's 1533-position model. The record is from RNAcentral. Lineage: Bacteria; Pseudomonadati; Planctomycetota.